UACGAAGGGUGCUAGCGUUGCUCGGAAUUACUGGGCGUAAAGCGCACGUAGGCGGCUUUCUAAGUCGGGGGUGAAAUCCCGAGGCUCAACCUCGGAACUGCCUUCGAUACUGAUGAUCUUGAGUCCGGGAGAGGUGAGUGGAACUGCGAGUGUAGAGGUGAAAUGCGUAGAUAUUCGCAAGAACACCAGUGGCGAAGGCGGCUCACUGGCCCGGUACUGACGCUGAGAUACGAAAGCGUGGGGAGCAAACAGG
This 253-nucleotide ribosomal RNA is filed under the name uncultured bacterium. RNAcentral describes it as "partial 16S ribosomal RNA". It matches the Rfam family "Bacterial small subunit ribosomal RNA", at positions 524 to 776 of the family's 1533-position model. The record is from RNAcentral.